AUGGUUCUUGCGCUUUUUGUGUCUCACCAAAAUCAAGACUCAGGUCAUGUGCAUGUUUAUCAAGCAAACACCUUUUUUUUUUUUUUUCCAGAAAAUAAAAACGCCCUGGAAGACAAGUGUAAUGCAUUGAGGUCUGUGAAAGCCACAAAGGAAGCAAAAGUCAAACAGCUGAAGGAGAAAGCACAUAACCUAGAAGAAUUCUAUGAACGAAGAAAAGUGCCUACAAAAAAGGCAGUCUGGAUCCUGGGGACCUCCUCCGUUAACUGGAUGAUUCUGCAUGCCCCACCCCCAUGGACUAUUAGGCACGUCCACCUCCUGAACCUUGGUGGCCCUGGGGCCACCCGGAACCCCUCCACCUGCAACACUUGAAUUUCAGCUCAUUUUUCCAGAGGACACAAUUACCCUGCAAAGUGUACUGCACUUAAGCUGAGAAGUACCUCCGAAGUAAAAUAACUUAGCUGAACCCAACUAACAGGUAUAGGUUACCUGUUUCUCUAAGAGCACACUUUCCCAGGUCCUCUGCAGGUCCUCAGGAUCCCCAUCUCCCCAUGUGUCUCUGUGCCCAUGGAUAGCACUUCCAGAGAGGAGGAGACCCCAUUGUCGGGACAGAAGUAGAUUGGGCACAGGCAAGGGCUUAGAGGCAGAGCUUUGAGCCAUGAGGGCUAUGAUUCCAUGUGUGGACUACUGGGAUUUUCAUUCCUUCUCAUUCUGUAGUUCUUCACAACACAAUAAACAGCCUCUGUGGUGGAGGGGAUGAAGGGUG
This 763-nucleotide long non-coding RNA is filed under the name Felis catus (domestic cat). RNAcentral's name for it is "lncRNA (ENSFCAG00000045007.2)". Lineage: Eukaryota; Metazoa; Chordata; Mammalia; Carnivora; Felidae. The record is from RNAcentral.